GAAGCAGCAGCAGAAUCUGACACGGUAGAAGUUCUUUUUUUCCUCUCUUCCUCAUAUUCAGCAUCAUCAGUCUCAAGCUGGAAUCUACAGACAGGACAAGAGUUCCUUGUUCCUAACCAUGGCACAAUACAAUCUCCGUGGUAACAAUGUCCACACGGUAACUUCUUACCAGUUUCUCCCAUCACCAUUCCAUCUUUACACACAGCACAAACCAUAACCAUCUCUCCCUCCGAAGAACUAACCUCGAAAGUCUCCAAUGC
Arabidopsis thaliana (thale cress) is the source of this 260-nucleotide long non-coding RNA. RefSeq annotates it as other RNA. The transcript has a single exon. The record is from RefSeq. Lineage: Eukaryota; Viridiplantae; Streptophyta; Magnoliopsida; Brassicales; Brassicaceae.